CAGCACCGCGCAAGCGCGCACCCAAGCCCCGCCCCGUGGGGGCCACCACGCCACACCCUCCCUCCAGCCCUGUCAAGGUUGAUUCAGUAUUGGUCGCCUCGCGUGAUUCUUCCCGCCCCCUCGCUGCUUCCGUUUCCGGUUCUGGCGCCCGCCACGGCUGUAAGGAUGAUCGGAGACAUCCUGCUGUUUGGGACGCUGCUGAUGAACGCCGGGGCUGUGCUCAACUUUAAACUGAAAAAGAAGGACACGCAAGGCUUCGGGGAGGAGUCGCGGGAGCCCAGCACAGGAGACAACAUCCGGGAGUUCUUACUGAGCCUGAGGUACUUCCGGAUCUUCAUCGCCCUGUGGAAUGUGUUCAUGAUGCUCUGCAUGAUUGUGUGAGUCCCGCACCGCCCGUGCGCACAUACCUCCACAGUGCUCCUGACCGUUUCACAGUGCGCUUGCCCACUGUUUGGCUCUUGAGAACCCAGAGCUCGCCUGCUGGAUGUCGAGGCUCCGUUUCUGUUUUGAUGACUUCACGAAUGUUUCUCACCGGAAAACCAGGGACUUUCCCAGGGGGCUUGAGUUCAUCUGGAUGAAGAAUAUCCACUUCCAGCCAGCUGGCCCUCCUCAGCCACUGUCCUCCUAUGCUCUGGGCUUUCAGGACAAGUCCUGAUCCUGUAGGAGAAAGACACACCUAGUCUUUCACUUGUCCUGGCAUCCCAACUCCCCCAGUGUCACAGGAGGCCUGUGGGCUGUUCAGUUGACUUGUUAGUGAUUGCUGUGGUCUGACUUGACGGAUUGUUCUUAGUCAGUGUGAUCAGGCACCAGACACAGGGCUGGCUGUGACCGUGAGCGCCCUCUUCUGCACAGCGAGGUCUGGCUUCCCAAAUGCUUCCCCUACCUUAUGACAGGGACCACCUGGGGCAGCUGAACUCACAUCAGGACUUGGAAGGAACAGGUCCCCACCCCCAGGACACCAGCCUCCUCUUUAGACCCUGAGCUGUUAGCCACAGAGGGCCUGGGUGCCAUGUUUGGCUUCUCCGGAAGAGGCAGUAACAAGUCAGCAGACAUCUUGUGCUUUCCUGCCUGGUAUUAAUAAAGUGGCUUUGGGGCCACCCCUCCUUCACUA
Mesocricetus auratus (golden hamster) is the source of this 1111-nucleotide RNA transcript. It is a transcript of the gene named small integral membrane protein 7, with no coding region annotated. The transcript has 5 exons. NCBI's taxonomy places the organism in Eukaryota, Metazoa, Chordata, Mammalia, Rodentia, Cricetidae. The record is from RefSeq and is a predicted model, not a curated record.